Molecule: ribosomal RNA, 425 nt
Filed under: uncultured bacterium
Lineage: Bacteria
Description: bacterial SSU rRNA
Rfam family: Bacterial small subunit ribosomal RNA
Source: RNAcentral
UGAGGAAUCUUGGACAAUGGGGGCAACCCCGAUCCAGCGACGCCGCGUGAAGGAUGAAGGUCUUCGGAUUGUAAACUUCUUUUAUCUGGGAAUAAGAAACUCGUAGAAAUACGGGGAGUGAAGGUACCAGAGGAAUAAGCCACGGCUAACUUCGUGCCAGCAGCCGCGGUAAUACGAAGGUGGCAAGCGUUACUCGGAAUUACUAGGCGUAAAGGGCAGGUAGGUGGUUUGAUAAGUCUGUUGUGUAAGCUCCCGGCUUAACUGGGAGAGGUCAACAGAUACUGUCAGGCUUGAGUAUGGGAGAGGGUACUGGAAUUCCCGGUGUAGCGGUGAAAUGCGCAGAUAUCGGGAGGAACACCAAUGGCGAAAGCAGGUGCCUGGACCAUUACUGACACUCAGCUGCGAAAGCUAGGGGAGCAAACAGG